This 362-nucleotide long non-coding RNA is filed under the name Drosophila guanche. Lineage: Eukaryota; Metazoa; Arthropoda; Insecta; Diptera; Drosophilidae. The record is from RNAcentral.
AUCGUCCUUCCUUCUCAAAACCUUUGAAAGACUAGUAGGGCUGCAGCUGAGGACAACAAUUAAUCCUCAGUGGCUGUCAGGCGCCCAACAUGCCUACCGAAAAGGGAAAUCCACGGAAACGGCACUCCAUGAAGUAAUCUCGGCGGUAGAGAAAUCUCUACACGUCAAAGAAUACUCCUUAAUCGCUUUCCUAGACAUUGAGGGAGCUUUUAACAAUGUCAUACCGGAAGCCAUCACAGAGGCCCUGACUGACCUGGGAGUGGAUUGUCACUUGGUGAUGCUCAUAGAUCAAUUGCUCACAUGCAGGACAGUGACAUCAUCAAUGGGAUCGUCCACUCAGUCAAGGUAUGUCAACAGAGGCA